UUAACGAACGAGACCCCCGCCUGCUAACUAGCUGACAUAAUGCUUUAGUCAUUGUGUGCAGAUACUUCUUAGAGGGACUUUCGGUGACUAACCGAAGGAAGUUGGGGGCAAUAACAGGUCUGUGAUGCCCUUAGAUGUCCUGGGCUGCACGCGCGCUACACUGAUGCAUGCAACGAGUAUACAACCUUGGCCGGUAGGCCUGGGUAAUCUUUUUAACGUGCAUCGUGAUAGGGAUAGAUUAUUGCAAUUAUUAAUCUUGAACGAGGAAUUCCUAGUAAACGCGAUUCAUCAGAUCGCAUUGAUUACGUCCCUGCCCUUUGUACACACCGCCCGUCGCACCUACCGAUUGAAUGAUUCGGUGAAGAUUCCGGACCGAGGCUGCCUCCUCAUUAGUUUGUGGUGGUGCCUUGGGAAGCUAUCUAAACCUCAUCAUUUAGAGGAAGGUGAAGU
RNAcentral lists this ribosomal RNA (450 nucleotides) under Fibrocapsa japonica. RNAcentral's name for it is "SSU rRNA". It matches the Rfam family "Eukaryotic small subunit ribosomal RNA", at positions 1328 to 1789 of the family's 1831-position model. The record is from RNAcentral. Lineage: Eukaryota; Raphidophyceae; Chattonellales; Chattonellaceae.